Molecule: long non-coding RNA, 626 nt
Organism: Girardinichthys multiradiatus
Lineage: Eukaryota; Metazoa; Chordata; Actinopteri; Cyprinodontiformes; Goodeidae
Exons: 3
Source: RefSeq, a predicted model, not a curated record
GUUUGUUUACACUCUGUUUUGCCUGCUUGUUGCGUUACUACUCGACCCUCUACCCUCGUCCCUGCCAUGAGUCUCCAUGUUCCUGCAGUGUUUUUGAUUGCACAACAAAACGAAAAGGAAAGUAAUCUGACAAAGGAAGAAAGUGUCAUUUUUGGCAGGGAGCUCACAGGAUCAAUGUGCAGAUCAGGAGUUUCGAGUCUUAUGCACCCGCUGUGUGCUGCCGGUUUGAGAUUGGCUGCAGACUGACACACCAGAGGCUUUUUCUUCUGGGCGGAUGGAGGAACCGGUCCGCAGAGAUGUGACAUGUGAAAGCUGCUGCAGAGAGGAGGCUGUCCUGUCAUGACAAAGAAACUCUCGGAGACGCACAACAUCUGAAGCACAGCUUUCCCCUGAAGGUGUUCAACAGACCGCAGCUUGAGAAAAUAGAACAUUUAGAAAAAAAAAAAGAUACGUAUCACACAUCCUGACCUUGCAAUGACACAGAUUCUUCUUUUGGUCAGAUUGAGUUCUUCAUAGGAAGCUCAAGCAGCUAAUGUAGCUAUUCAAGUAGAUGUGAAAGAACAGAUGUGUAAUUUUUACACUGUUUUUAAUGAAAAAAAGGCAAGUUGAAUAAAUUACAGAAUAUA